GCCUGCCCUGUGACCAAAAGUUUAACGGCCGCGGUAUUUUGACCGUGCAAAGGUAGCGCAAUCACUUGUCUCUUAAAUGGAGACCCGUAUGAAUGGCAUAACGAGGGCUUAACUGUCUCCUUUUUCAGGUCAAUGAAAUUGAUCUCCCCGUGCAGAAGCGGGGAUAAUUACAUAAGACGAGAAGACCCUAUGGAGCUUCAGACACCAAGACAGACCAUGUCAAACACCCCAAAUUACCGGGCCAAACAAAUGAAACCCUGUCCUAAUGUCUUCGGUUGGGGCGACCGCGGGGAAAUACAAAACCCCCACGUGGAAAGGGAGCACCCCUCCUACAGUCAAGAGCUUCCGCUCUACUAAACAGAACUUCUGACCUUAAGAUCCGGCAAAGCCGAUCAACGGACCAAGUUACCCUAGGGAUAACAGCGCAAUCCCCUUCUAGAGCCCAUAUCGACAAGGGGGUUUACGACCUCGAUGUUGGAUCAGGACAUCCUAAUGGUGCAGCCGCUAUUAAGGGUUCGUUUGUUCAACGAUUAAAGUCCUACGUGAU
RNAcentral lists this ribosomal RNA (547 nucleotides) under Plectorhinchus plagiodesmus (barred sweetlips). RNAcentral describes it as "partial 16S ribosomal RNA". It matches the Rfam family "Bacterial large subunit ribosomal RNA", at positions 1857 to 2604 of the family's 2925-position model. Lineage: Eukaryota; Metazoa; Chordata; Actinopteri; Lutjaniformes; Haemulidae. The record is from RNAcentral.